RNAcentral lists this ribosomal RNA (253 nucleotides) under uncultured bacterium. RNAcentral describes it as "partial 16S ribosomal RNA". It matches the Rfam family "Bacterial small subunit ribosomal RNA", at positions 524 to 776 of the family's 1533-position model. The record is from RNAcentral.
UACGGAGGGGGUUAGCGUUUUUCGGAAUUACUGGGCGUAAAGCGCACGUAGGCGGGCUGUUAAGUCGGGGGUGAAAUCCCGGGGCUCAACCCCGGAACUGCCUUCGAUACUGGCAGCCUUGACUUCGAGAGAGGUGAGUGGAAUUCCGAGUGUAGAGGUGAAAUUCGUAGAUAUUCGGAGGAACACCAGUGGCGAAGGCGGCUCACUGGCUCGAUACUGACGCUGAGGUGCGAAAGCGUUGGGAGCAAACAGG